UCACUGGGACCUUCACAGUAGCAGAAUUGUUUCUGUACCCUUCCCCGAGUUUGUGCCUUGAGACAAUCCUGCCUCAGAUGUCUACAGAUAAUUCGUUUAACUUUAUGCAUGAUUUGUACACUGACAUGCACUGUCAACUGUGGGAUCUUAUAUGUAGACAGGUGUGUGUGUGUGCCUUUCUAAAUCAUGUCCAAUCAACUGAAUUUUUCCCAGGUGGACUACAACUAAGCUGAAGAAAUAUCUCAAGAAUGAUCAGUGGAAACCGGAUGGACCCAAGCUCAAUUUUGAGCUUCAUGGCAUAGGUUGUGAAUACUUAUGUACAUGCUAUUUCUUAGGGUUUUUAAUUUUGAUAAAUUUGCAAA
This is a long non-coding RNA of Thalassophryne amazonica, 362 nucleotides long. RefSeq lists it as uncharacterized. The record is from RefSeq and is a predicted model, not a curated record. The transcript has 2 exons. Lineage: Eukaryota; Metazoa; Chordata; Actinopteri; Batrachoidiformes; Batrachoididae.